GUGGGGAAUCUUGCGCAAUGGGCGAAAGCCUGACGCAGCCAUGCCGCGUGAAUGAUGAAGGUCUUAGGAUUGUAAAAUUCUUUCACCGGGGACGAUAAUGACGGUACCCGGAGAAGAAGCUCCGGCUAACUUCGUGCCAGCAGCCGCGGUAAUACGAAGGGGGCUAGCGUUGCUCGGAAUUACUGGGCGUAAAGGGCGCGUAGGCGGACAGCUUAGUCAGAGGUGAAAGCCCAGGGCUCAACCUUGGAAUUGCCUUUGAUACUGGCUGUCUUGAGUUUGGGAGAGGGGAGUGGAACGCCGAGUGUAGAGGUGAAAGUCGUAGAUAUUCGGAAGAAGACCGGUGUCGAAGGCGACUCACUGGCCCAAUACUGACGCGGAGGCGCGAAAGCGUGGGGAGCAAACAGGAUUAGAAACCCCGGUAGUCC
Molecule: ribosomal RNA, 425 nt
Filed under: uncultured bacterium
Lineage: Bacteria
Description: partial 16S ribosomal RNA
Rfam family: Bacterial small subunit ribosomal RNA
Source: RNAcentral